UAUCUCUGUAGAGUCUGCAUAUCAAUAAGCGGAGGAAAAGAAACUAAUUAGGAUUCCCUCAGUAACGGCGAGUGAAGCGGGAAGAGCUCAAAUUUGAAAUCUUCAAGGUUCUACCUUGACGAAUUGUAGUUUAAAGAAGUGUUUUCUGUUGGAGUUUUGGUAAAAGUUCUUUGGAAUAGGACAUCAUAGAGGGUGAGAAUCCCGUAUUUGACCAUUAUUUCCAGCUUUGUGAUACACUUUCAAAGAGUCGGAUUGUUUGGGAAUGCAGUCCAAAAUGGGUGGUAAAUUUCAUCUAAAGCUAAAUAUUGGCGAGAGACCGAUAGCGAACAAGUACCGUGAGGGAAAGAUGAAAAGAACUUUGAAAAGAGAGUUAAACAGUACGUGAAAUUGUCAAAAGGGAAGCGUUUGACACCAGUGUUGUUUUCUCGAAAAUCAAUUAAAAAAGGCAGGAUUUUGUGUUGUAUUGACUUUAUCAGCUUUCUGCACUCUUUUCUUGUCUUUUUUAAUGCACUUUUCGUUUAACAAGUCAACAUCAAUUUCUUUUGUUGUAAAAGGGUCAUUGGAAGGUGGCUUUCUUUUCGGAGAAAGUGUUUAUAGCCUUUGGCCUCUGCAAUCGGAGAGAUUGAGGUCUGCAGCGUAGAUCCUUCGGGGUUAGAUACAUUUGUGCUAAGUUAUAGCCUUUCAUAGACAACUUGUUGACUAUGAUUAAGUCAUGUAGCUUACUCGUUUGCGCUAUUUUACCUACGCUUAGGAUGUUGACGAUCAGCUGAGCGCG
Molecule: ribosomal RNA, 775 nt
Filed under: uncultured Neocallimastigales
Lineage: Eukaryota; Fungi; Neocallimastigomycota; Neocallimastigomycetes; Neocallimastigales
Description: partial large subunit ribosomal RNA
Rfam family: Eukaryotic large subunit ribosomal RNA
Source: RNAcentral